This 224-nucleotide unclassified non-coding RNA is filed under the name plant metagenome. RNAcentral's name for it is "partial contains small subunit ribosomal RNA, internal transcribed spacer 1, and 5.8S ribosomal RNA". The record is from RNAcentral.
UCUCCGUUGGUGAACCAGCGGAGGGAUCAUUACAGGACUCGCAAGACUCCUUCACCCUGUGAACCUCACUACAAGCACGUUGCUUCGGCGGGUGUCCCGGCGGGGGUUUUCCCUCGCCGGGGCGCACAGCCCGCCGGCAGCCUACUAUACUCUGUCCCUUUGCGUUGGCAUCUCGAGAAAAAACAAACAAGUUAAAACUUUCAACAACGGAUCUCUUGGUUCUG